CCUACGGGGGGCUGCAGUGGGGAAUAUUGGGCAAUGGGCGCAAGCCUGACCCAGCAACGCCGCGUGAAGGAAGAAGGCCCUCGGGUUGUAAACUUCUUUUAUCAGGGACGAAACAAGUGACGGUACCUGAUGAACAAGCCACGGCUAACUACGUGCCAGCAGCCGCGGUAAUACGUAGGUGGCAAGCGUUAUCCGGAUUUACUGGGUGUAAAGGGCGUGUAGGUGGGAAAGCAAGUCAGAUGUGAAAACCAUGGGCUCAACCUGUGGCCUGCAUUUGAAACUGGUUUUCUUGAGUGCUGGAGAGGCAGACGGAAUUCCUAGUGUAGCGGUGAAAUGCGUAGAUAUUAGGAAGAACACCAGUGGCGAAGGCGGUCUGCUGGACAGCAACUGACGCUGAGGCGCGAAAGCGUGGGUAGCAAACAGGAUUAGAUACCCGAGUAGUC
RNAcentral lists this ribosomal RNA (443 nucleotides) under uncultured bacterium. RNAcentral's name for it is "partial 16S ribosomal RNA". It matches the Rfam family "Bacterial small subunit ribosomal RNA", at positions 338 to 795 of the family's 1533-position model. The record is from RNAcentral.